This is a non-coding RNA of Acanthosepion pharaonis, 104 nucleotides long. Lineage: Eukaryota; Metazoa; Mollusca; Cephalopoda; Sepiida; Sepiidae. The record is from the annotation of a GenBank genome assembly.
ACGGCCAUAUUACGUUGAAACACCAGUUCCAGUACGAUCAUCGAAGUUAAGCAACUUCGAUCCUGGUCAGAUGGGUGACCGCUUGGGAAGUUCAAGUGCUGUAA